GGAGCGGUGUCCGAGUGGUUUAAGGAGCCGGUCUUGAAAACCGGUGUUACCGAGAGGUACCGUGAGUUCGAAUCUCACCCGCUCCG
RNAcentral lists this transfer RNA (86 nucleotides) under Ruminococcus sp. RNAcentral describes it as "tRNA-Ser". It matches the Rfam family "tRNA". Rfam says of the family: Transfer RNA (tRNA) molecules are approximately 80 nucleotides in length. Their secondary structure includes four short double-helical elements and three loops (D, anti-codon, and T loops). Further hydrogen bonds mediate the characteristic L-shaped molecular structure. tRNAs have two regions of fundamental functional importance: the anti-codon, which is responsible for specific mRNA codon recognition, and the 3' end, to which the tRNAs corresponding amino acid is attached (by aminoacyl-tRNA synthetases). tRNAs cope with the degeneracy of the genetic code in two manners: having more than one tRNA (with a specific anti-codon) for a particular amino acid; and 'wobble' base-pairing, i.e. permitting non-standard base-pairing at the 3rd anti-codon position. Lineage: Bacteria; Bacillati; Bacillota; Clostridia; Eubacteriales; Oscillospiraceae. The record is from RNAcentral.